GACGAACGCUGGCGGCGUGCUUAACACAUGCAAGUCGAACGGUGAAAGAAGAGCUUGCUCUUAUGGAUCAGUGGCGAACGGGUGAGUAACACGUGAGUAACCUGCCCCAGACUCUGGAAUAAGCGCUGGAAACGGCGUCUAAUACCGGAUACGAGACAGAGCUGCAUGGCUACUGUCUGGAAAGUGUUUCGGUCUGGGAUGGACUGGCGGCCUAUCAGCUUGUUGGUGAGGUAACGGCUCACCAAGGCAACGACCGGUAGCCGGCCUGGGAGGGGGAACGGGCACCCUGGGACUACGAGACGGCGCAGACGCGUACGGUAGGCAGCAGUGGAGAAUAUUGCACAAUGGGCGAGAGCCUGAGGCGGCGACGCCGCGGGUGGGAUGACGGCCUUCGGGGUGUAAACCGCUUUCUGCAGGGAAGGAGCGAAAGUGACGGUACCUGCAGAAGAAGCACCGGCUAACUACGUG
This 468-nucleotide ribosomal RNA is filed under the name uncultured bacterium. Its description in RNAcentral is "partial 16S ribosomal RNA". It matches the Rfam family "Bacterial small subunit ribosomal RNA", at positions 28 to 507 of the family's 1533-position model. The record is from RNAcentral.